UACGUAGGGGGCUAGCGUUGCUCGGAAUUACUGGGCGUAAAGGGCGCGUAGGCGGCUACUUAAGUCGGGGGUGAAAGCCCGGGGCUCAACCUCGGAAUUGCCUUCGAUACUGGGUAUCUUGAGUUCGGGAGAGGUGAGUGGAAUGCCGAGUGUAGAGGUGAAAUUCGUAGAUAUUCGGCGGAACACCAGUGGCGAAGGCGACUCACUGGCCCGAUACUGACGCUGAUGCGCGAAAGCGUGGGGAGCAAACAGG
This 253-nucleotide ribosomal RNA is filed under the name uncultured bacterium. RNAcentral's name for it is "partial 16S ribosomal RNA". It matches the Rfam family "Bacterial small subunit ribosomal RNA", at positions 524 to 776 of the family's 1533-position model. The record is from RNAcentral.